Molecule: ribosomal RNA, 874 nt
Filed under: Streptomyces sp. NCCP-1300
Lineage: Bacteria; Bacillati; Actinomycetota; Actinomycetes; Kitasatosporales; Streptomycetaceae
Description: bacterial SSU rRNA
Rfam family: Bacterial small subunit ribosomal RNA
Source: RNAcentral
GGCGAACGGGUGAGUAACACGUGGGCAAUCUGCCCUGCACUCUGGGACAAGCCCUGGAAACGGGGUCUAAUACCGGAUAUGACUGUCCAUCGCAUGGUGGAUGGUGUAAAGCUCCGGCGGUGCAGGAUGAGCCCGCGGCCUAUCAGCUUGUUGGUGAGGUAGUGGCUCACCAAGGCGACGACGGGUAGCCGGCCUGAGAGGGCGACCGGCCACACUGGGACUGAGACACGGCCCAGACUCCUACGGGAGGCAGCAGUGGGGAAUAUUGCACAAUGGGCGAAAGCCUGAUGCAGCGACGCCGCGUGAGGGAUGACGGCCUUCGGGUUGUAAACCUCUUUCAGCAGGGAAGAAGCGAAAGUGACGGUACCUGCAGAAGAAGCGCCGGCUAACUACGUGCCAGCAGCCGCGGUAAUACGUAGGGCGCAAGCGUUGUCCGGAAUUAUUGGGCGUAAAGAGCUCGUAGGCGGCUUGUCACGUCGGUUGUGAAAGCCCGGGGCUUAACCCCGGGUCUGCAGUCGAUACGGGCAGGCUAGAGUUCGGUAGGGGAGAUCGGAAUUCCUGGUGUAGCGGUGAAAUGCGCAGAUAUCAGGAGGAACACCGGUGGCGAAGGCGGAUCUCUGGGCCGAUACUGACGCUGAGGAGCGAAAGCGUGGGGAGCGAACAGGAUUAGAUACCCUGGUAGUCCACGCCGUAACGGUGGGCACUAGGUGUGGGCAACAUUCCACGUUGUCCGUGCCGCAGCUAACGCAUUAAGUGCCCCGCCUGGGGAGUACGGCCGCAAGGCUAAAACUCAAGGAAUUGACGGGGGCCCGCACAAGCGGCGGAGCAUGUGGCUUAUUUCGACGCAACGCGAAGAACCUUACCAAGGCUUGAC